Molecule: ribosomal RNA, 713 nt
Filed under: Stachybotrys sp.
Lineage: Eukaryota; Fungi; Ascomycota; Sordariomycetes; Hypocreales; Stachybotryaceae
Description: SSU rRNA
Rfam family: Eukaryotic small subunit ribosomal RNA
Source: RNAcentral
UGGCUCAUUAUAUAAGUUAUCGUUUAUUUGAUAGUGCCUUACUACUUGGAUAACCGUGGUAAUUCUAGAGCUAAUACAUGCUACAAGCCCUGACUUCGGAAGGGGCGUAUUUAUUAGAUUAAAAACCAAUGCCCUCUGGGCUCCUUGGUGAAUCAUGAUAACUUCACGAAUCGCACGGCCUUGCGCCGGCGAUGGCUCAUUCAAAUUUCUUCCCUAUCAACUUUCGAUGUUUGGGUAGUGGCCAAACAUGGUUGCAACGGGUAACGGAGGGUUAGGGCUCGACCCCGGAGAAGGAGCCUGAGAAACGGCUACUACAUCCAAGGAAGGCAGCAGGCGCGCAAAUUACCCAAUCCCGAUUCGGGGAGGUAGUGACAAUAAAUACUGAUACAGGGCUCUUUCGGGUCUUGUAAUCGGAAUGAGUACAAUUUAAAUCCCUUAACGAGGAACAAUUGGAGGGCAAGUCUGGUGCCAGCAGCCGCGGUAAUUCCAGCUCCAAUAGCGUAUAUUAAAGUUGUUGUGGUUAAAAAGCUCGUAGUUGAACCUUGGGCCUGGCUGGCCGGUCCGCCUCACCGCGUGUACUGGUCCGGCCGGGCCUUUCCCUCUGUGGAACCUCAUGCCCUUCACUGGGUGUGCUGGGGAAACAGGACUUUUACUUUGAAAAAAUUAGAGUGCUCCAGGCAGGCCUAUGCUCGAAUACAUUAGCAUGGAAUAAU